This is a long non-coding RNA of Myotis brandtii (Brandt's bat), 1204 nucleotides long. RefSeq lists it as uncharacterized. The record is from RefSeq and is a predicted model, not a curated record. The transcript has 2 exons. NCBI's taxonomy places the organism in Eukaryota, Metazoa, Chordata, Mammalia, Chiroptera, Vespertilionidae.
GUCCAUGGACCACCGGUUGGCGACCGUUGAUAUACACAAUGCCCAAGAGGUCCAAUCCAGUGGUGAUACUGUCUAAUAUGUUCCAUAAACUCUGGCAGGAAAUGUACUAAAAUAGCAUUUAUUAGCAUUUGUUAAAUCACCUACAAACCAGAUCUUUGUGGGGUUUCUCACUUUAAGAUAUGAAUGUGUCAGAUAAAUUUUUAAAAAUACAUAAUAAAAAAUGAAUGUGUCCAUAGACGUUUCACUUUCUACCUAACAUCACAGCUUAGCCACCAUCACAGUAUUUCUCCAAGGGAAGCGGCAGUGAGGGGAGACUCAAGAGAUUAUCUCAAUUUGUUAAAGAGGUCAGUGGGUGAAACCAAGGCCCCUUUGGUCAUGUGCUCCCUCUCCAGUUUUUUUAGCCAGGGUGAUUUUUUUCUCCAAACAGGUACCAAAAUACAGCUCUUCAUGAAGCAACUCUGCUUGGCAUGGCAGGAAGGGAGUGUAUCGCUGCUUUACUGGGAUGCAAUGCAAGCAUCCGAAAGAAGAAUAUUAGAGGCCACACGCCCCGUGACCUGGCUCUGACAAUUGGGGAUGACCUCAUCACCUCGCUCUUUGCUGCUAAGCUGGGCCUUGAUGACUAUUAGACGCUAGGGCCUCCACGGAGCUUCACUUAAAGAAACCAUCCAGCUCUGGCGGUCCUUUGCUUGUUUCCUUCUGAAAUGUGUAUUUGAGGUUUGGUAAUUGUGGUUAAGAUGAACUCAGAUGUUUUUGUCUUUUAAUUAUAUGACAGUGGAAGCAUGGGUAUUUCCUAAUGUGAUGGUGAUGAACUUGAUGCAUGUCUUAUUGCUGCUUGUUUUAGAAUUUCUUUUUCAAUAGAUAAUAAUUGCACAAAGUUCAAAGCUAAAAAGUAUGAAGUGUUGUGUAGUGAAAAAUCUGCUUCCCAUCCCUGUCCCUCAGCCACCCACUUCCCCUCCUCAGAGGUAGCCAGUGGUAGUAUCAACUGUGUCUUUCCAGAAAUAGUAUAGGACUGUAUAAGCCAUGUGUGUAGUGUAUGCAUGUGCAGGUAGAGUAGGCAUGAAUACAAAUAUAGAUAACACACACAUAUAUUAUCAGUGUCUGGUGAUAUCCCCUCUUGUGAGACAAGUAGUAGUGAACUACACACUGUCCCGUCUUGUUCUUUUGCUUAAUGUGUCUUGUAGGUGGUUCCAAAUUAGUAUAUAAA